Molecule: long non-coding RNA, 193 nt
Organism: Maniola jurtina (meadow brown)
Lineage: Eukaryota; Metazoa; Arthropoda; Insecta; Lepidoptera; Nymphalidae
Exons: 3
Source: RefSeq, a predicted model, not a curated record
UCAUUUACCAUAGUUGAGCAUGAAAGAAAAAUCAAUGUAUUUAUUAUAGUUAUUAAGUUUAUAUAUUACUAGCUUAUGCCCGAGACUUCGUCCGCGUGAACUACAUACAUUUUAAACUCCUAUUUUGCCCCUCUAGGGGUUGCAUUUUCAAAAAUCCUUUCUUAGCGAAAGUCUACGUCAUAAUAAUUAUCUG